This 220-nucleotide signal recognition particle RNA is filed under the name bovine gut metagenome. Its description in RNAcentral is "Bacterial large signal recognition particle RNA". It matches the Rfam family "Bacterial large signal recognition particle RNA", at positions 3 to 219 of the family's 256-position model. From Rfam's summary of the family: The signal recognition particle (SRP) is a universally conserved ribonucleoprotein involved in the co-translational targeting of proteins to membranes. Archaeal SRP consists of a 7S RNA and homologues of the eukaryotic SRP19 and SRP54 proteins. The record is from RNAcentral.
UGUGCUAUGUGGGGAGUUAGCGGUGCCCUGAACUUGCAAUCCGCUGUAGCAAGGCAGAAUAUCUUUUUCGGGAAUUCAAGGGCAAGCAGAGAAUUUAUUUUUUGUGAUGAAAUCAAGGUCUUGUGCAACAAAAGACUGCGAAUCAUGUCAGGUCCGGGAGGAAGCAGCAUUAAACAGACACUUUUGUGUGCCAUGAGGGUGCUUUGAUGGAGCAAAAAAU